Molecule: long non-coding RNA, 1625 nt
Organism: Gadus macrocephalus (Pacific cod)
Lineage: Eukaryota; Metazoa; Chordata; Actinopteri; Gadiformes; Gadidae
Exons: 2
Source: RefSeq, a predicted model, not a curated record
AGAACGUUCGUAUUUAAGCGGGAAUCAUUUUAAUUUGCUCUCCAUGCCACCAAUCUAACCAACCAAUCGCGUGUAGCAUGCUUUAAACAAAAACAAAAAAAGUUUUUGAAAUCGUCACAUAAACAAACUAAUCGACAAGACGAGGGACAAAUGACAAGGGAUAUAUCUGUUGUCUUUUAUCCCUCUAUUCCCCACUAUUCACGGAGCCUGAGGUGAAUAAUUGUUAAUUAAAUAGUCUAGAUAGAUAGAUAGCCUAGUCAAGUCUUUAUUAAUACCAAACGACACAAAUCGUCGGGAAUCCAUUUAGGUGGUUCGGCCCACACAGGACAGUAGCCUACAAGACCACACAGAACAAGUCUGACUGGACAUACACACAAUACAUCACAUUAAAACUAGACACGCGUUGAUAGAUAGAUAGACAGAUAGGCCGAGAUAGAUAGAUAUCACCCAGGCCUCGACAUUAACGCUUGCCCGCUUGCCCGGGGCAACCAAAAGUCAUAUUUGGGCAAGUUGAGAUUGAUUUCUGGUUGCCCGAACGGGCAAGUGGAUUUUGGGUGGAUGUUAAUAGAAAGGCUAUUUAUUCAGAUGUUUUUAGAAACUGCAGAACAACCUUUGUAUUUGCAAUUGAUCAGCGCGCCGUCUUCUCUUCUCUCGGAAAGCGAGUUGACAGACCCGCAUCGCUUCAGUACGAAUAUAGCCCCGCCUUCUGUCACAUUGUUGGUCAAAAAGUCAGUGCGUUCUCUGGCCGUGAUUCGAAGGUGUUGGCUAAAGGUUAGCCAACAAAGCUAGCAUCGAAAGUGCAGCGCCUCCGCGAACGGUUUAGGUAGAAGGAAAAUGGAGUAGUGAUGGAGGAGUGCAGUUUGGAAGUACUUUGGAUUGAGGCAAAUUACCAAGGAAAGUCAUAUGCAAGAACACGGUUUUGGGUUUCAUAACUGUGCACAUGCACAGCAAUAGCGAUCUUUUUCACGAAAUUGGACCCUCACAAACUAUAUAUUACAUGAAAGCUGAGCCUCCACUUAUUCCAACAGUCCAAACCAUAUCAUUCUGUGACUAAAACUCGCAAAUAACAACUUAAGAAGAAACGUCCCCUUUUCUUUUAACAACCAAAAAUGAAGUAUUACCUUUGUGAUUUUUGUCAACAAAGUUGAUUCUGGUCGAAUAAAACCACCAUAAACGGAUAACCCAGUGUCUGGGCCAAAUUUUGCAACUAAACAUGGUAUUUUCAAUCAAUGAAUAAGAGAAGGUUUCUUAGGAAAUAGGUAAAUUGCCUUCAAUCAGAAAACUUAUUCUUCAGCGCAAUCUAGUGGCCAUAUGUUUAUUUGCGAGUGUUUGGCUUGGUGCAUUCUAAUAUAUUUGCCCUGAAAUUUAAAUAGAGGUGUCAAAAUUGUAAGAUAUCUACCUUUAUUUGUGUCUCAUAGUAAGACAUCGCUCCCAAAUGAUAACGACCAACUGAUAAUUAUUUCAAAUGUUAUCUUCCACUUAUGCUGUGUUCCAUGGCUUUAUUCACUUUAACCAAGUAUCAUCCCCAUUGAAUAUUUCACUUGCACAACAAUCUUUCUUAUGGCACAAAGAUGACAUUAUCGCCCUUGCAGUUUUGGAGAUAUACUCUAUUUACUUUGGGUAUG